UACGAAGGGGGCUAGCGUUGUUCGGAAUUACUGGGCGUAAAGGGCGCGCAGGCGGCUUGGAUAGUUGGGCGUGAAAGGCCCGGGCUUAACCCGGGAACUGCGCUCAAUACUACUAGGCUUGAGUGUGGGAGAGGAUGGUGGAAUUCCUAGUGUAGAGGUGAAAUUCGUAGAUAUUAGGAAGAACACCGGCGGCGAAGGCGGCCAUCUGGACCACAACUGACGCUGAGGCGCGAAAGCGUGGGGAGCAAACAGG
Molecule: ribosomal RNA, 253 nt
Filed under: uncultured bacterium
Lineage: Bacteria
Description: partial 16S ribosomal RNA
Rfam family: Bacterial small subunit ribosomal RNA
Source: RNAcentral